GGGCCGUUAGCUCAGUAGGUAGAGCAUCUGACUUUUAAUCAGGUGGUCGCAGGUUCGAUCCCUGCACGGCCCACCA
RNAcentral lists this transfer RNA (76 nucleotides) under Acidiferrobacteraceae bacterium. RNAcentral's name for it is "tRNA-Lys". It matches the Rfam family "tRNA". From Rfam's summary of the family: Transfer RNA (tRNA) molecules are approximately 80 nucleotides in length. Their secondary structure includes four short double-helical elements and three loops (D, anti-codon, and T loops). The record is from RNAcentral. RNAcentral also lists the same sequence under 1 other name. Lineage: Bacteria; Pseudomonadati; Pseudomonadota; Gammaproteobacteria; Acidiferrobacterales; Acidiferrobacteraceae.